GCCAAGUGUGGUGGCACCUGCCUAUAGUCUCAGCUACUCAGGUGGCUGAGGUGGGAGGAUCCCUUGAGCCCAGGAGUUCUGGGCUGUAGUGCGCUCUACGGAUCAGGUGUCCACACUAAGUUCGUCAUCAAUAUGGUGACCUCCUGGAAGUGGGGGACCACUGGAUUGCCUAAGGAGGGGUGAACCCGCCCAAGUCGGAAACAGAGCAGGUCAAAACUCCCGUGCUGAUCAGUAGUGGGAUCGCACCUGUGAAUAGCCACUGCACUCCAGCCUGGCCAACAUAGUGAGACCCCGUCUCU
Molecule: signal recognition particle RNA, 299 nt
Filed under: Saimiri boliviensis boliviensis (Bolivian squirrel monkey)
Lineage: Eukaryota; Metazoa; Chordata; Mammalia; Primates; Cebidae
Description: Metazoan signal recognition particle RNA (ENSSBOG00000000113.1)
Rfam family: Metazoan signal recognition particle RNA
About the family: The signal recognition particle (SRP) is a universally conserved ribonucleoprotein. It is involved in the co-translational targeting of proteins to membranes.
Source: RNAcentral